This 493-nucleotide ribosomal RNA is filed under the name uncultured bacterium. RNAcentral describes it as "bacterial SSU rRNA". It matches the Rfam family "Bacterial small subunit ribosomal RNA", at positions 29 to 509 of the family's 1533-position model. The record is from RNAcentral.
AGUGAACGCUGGCGGCAGGCCUAAUACAUGCAAGUCGAACGGCAGCACAGCAGAGCUUGCUCUGUGGGUGGCGAGUGGCGGACGGGUGAGGAAUACAUGGGAAUCUGCCCAGUCGUGGGGGAUAACGUAUGGAAACGUACGCUAAUACCGCAUGCGCCCUACGGGGGAAAGUCGGGGACCGCAAGGCCUGGCGCGAUUGGAUGAGCCCAUGUUCGAUUAGCUAGUUGGCGGGGUAAAGGCCCACCAAGGCGACGAUCGAUAGCUGGUCUGAGAGGAUGAUCAGCCACACUGGAACUGAGACACGGUCCAGACUCCUACGGGAGGCAGCAGUAGGGAAUAUUGGACAAGUGGGGGCAACCCUGAUCCAGCCAUGCCGCGUGAGUGAAGAAGGCCCUCGGGUUGUAAAGCUUCUUUUGUCCGGAAAGAAAGCAAUCGGUUAAUACCCGGUUGUUCUGACGGUACCGGAAGAAUAAGCACCGGCUAACUUCGUGCC